GCUUUGCUUUGGCCUGAUCAGUUGGCGAACGGGUGAGUAACACGUGAGUAACCUGCCCCAGACUCUGGGAUAACCCCGGGAAACCGGAGCUAAUACCGGAUAUGACAUCAACUCGCAUGAGUAUGGUGUGGAAAGUUUUUCGGUCUGGGAUGGACUCGCGGCCUAUCAGCUUGUUGGUGAGGUAGUGGCUCACCAAGGCGACGACGGGUAGCCGGCCUGAGAGGGCGACCGGCCACACUGGGACUGAGACACGGCCCAGACUCCUACGGGAGGCAGCAGUGGGGAAUAUUGCACAAUGGGCGGAAGCCUGAUGCAGCGACGCCGCGUGAGGGAUGACGGCCUUCGGGUUGUAAACCUCUUUCAGCAGGGAAGAAGCGCAAGUGACGGUACCUGCAGAAGAAGCACCGGCUAACUACGUGCCAGCAGCCGCGGUAAUACGUAGGGUGCGAGCGUUGUCCGGAAUUAUUGGGCGUAAAGAGCUUGUAGGUGGUUUGUCGCGUCUGCUGUGAAAAUCCGAGGCUCAACCUCGGACUUGCAGUGGGUACGGGCAGACUAGAGUGUGGUAGGGGAGACUGGAAUUCCUGGUGUAGCGGUGGAAUGCGCANAUAUCAGGAGGAACACCGAUGGCGAAGGCAGGUCUCUGGGCCAUUACUGACACUGAGAAGCGAAAGCAUGGGGAGCGAACAGGAUUANAUACCCUGGUAGUCCAUG
This 711-nucleotide ribosomal RNA is filed under the name Terrabacter sp. Z0-YC6818. RNAcentral describes it as "bacterial SSU rRNA". It matches the Rfam family "Bacterial small subunit ribosomal RNA", at positions 74 to 799 of the family's 1533-position model. Lineage: Bacteria; Bacillati; Actinomycetota; Actinomycetes; Micrococcales; Intrasporangiaceae. The record is from RNAcentral.